This is a long non-coding RNA of Suricata suricatta (meerkat), 348 nucleotides long. RefSeq lists it as uncharacterized. The record is from RefSeq and is a predicted model, not a curated record. The transcript has 2 exons. Lineage: Eukaryota; Metazoa; Chordata; Mammalia; Carnivora; Herpestidae.
AUUGGUGUUAGAGGAUCUGGAAAUGGUUUCCAAGCUGUGCUCUGAGGAUCUGAUCUGUGGUGGGACUUCGAGCUUCCCAUCCCUUCCCUGCAUCCCAUUCUCUGACCCUGGGCUUCUAGAAAGACAUGGUUGAACAAGGAUUCUAUGGUUAAAAAAGAAAUUUGAAAAUUGCUGACACAAAAGGAUGGGUACACUGCUAUCCGUCAGAGUCCAAGAUUCCUUCAGUGGUGCAUAAUCUCCCCAGUCUUGAGGGGGCUCCCAGAAGAGUGCUUGGAAUCAUUAUUUUCCAUGCAGAUGACGUCAUGCCUUGUAAAAGUCAAAAUAAAGUCCUUCUAUUGGUUCCCCUGA